GGGGACGUACAGGUUUCGACAGAGAUGAUGAGCGAUGAUAAGCGAGCCGUGUUUCCUGGUCUGGGGUACACGUAAAAGAACUGGACCAUUAAAUAUAAACGCAAACGAAAAUUUUGCAUUAGCUGCCUAAUCGCAGCGUCACCUUUAGGCCUUGCCUCAGCCGCCUAGAGCCUGACCAACUCCUGCUGGGGUCGAUGAACGAUAUGCUUUUCUAAUGUCGUUUUAUUGUAUGAUAGAAAUAGCUUGUGAGCUUGUGCGUUACAACACGUGAACGCAAGCGAAUUCCUAAUUUGUGACUGCGCUCGGAGAAAGUCAUCGUAAAUUGUUUUUGGACAGGGGUUCGAUUCCCCUCGUCUCCACCA
RNAcentral lists this transfer-messenger RNA (362 nucleotides) under Fusibacter paucivorans. RNAcentral's name for it is "Standard tmRNA". It matches the Rfam family "transfer-messenger RNA". Rfam says of the family: Bacterial tmRNA, also known as 10Sa RNA or SsrA, is named for its dual tRNA and mRNA-like properties. Its role is to liberate the mRNA from a stalled ribosome. To accomplish this part of the tmRNA is used as a reading frame that ends in a translation stop signal. The record is from RNAcentral. Lineage: Bacteria; Bacillati; Bacillota; Clostridia; Eubacteriales; Fusibacteraceae.